AGGCAAACGGGCGGGGGUGCUAAUACAUGCAAGUCGAACGCGUUGGCCCAAUUGAUUGAUGGUGCUUGCACCUGAUUGAUUUUGGUCGCCAACGAGUGGCGGACGGGUGAGUAACACGUAGGUAACCUGCCCAGAAGCGGGGGACAACAUUUGGAAACAGAUGCUAAUACCGCAUAACAGCGUUGUUCGCAUGAACAACGCUUAAAAGAUGGCUUCUCGCUAUCACUUCUGGAUGGACCUGCGGUGCAUUAGCUUGUUGGUGGGGUAACGGCCUACCAAGGCGAUGAUGCAUAGCCGAGUUGAGAGACUGAUCGGCCACAAUGGGACUGAGACACGGCCCAUACUCCUACGGGAGGCAGCAGUAGGGAAUCUUCCACAAUGGGCGCAAGCCUGAUGGAGCAACACCGCGUGAGUGAAGAAGGGUUUCGGCUCGUAAAGCUCUGUUGUUAAAGAAGAACACGUAUGAGAGUAACUGUUCAUACGUUGACGGUAUUUAACCAGAAAGUCACGGCUAACUACGUGCCAGCAGCCGCGGUAAUACGUAGGUGGCAAGCGUUAUCCGGAUUUAUUGGGCGUAAAGAGAGUGCAGGCGGUUUUCUAAGUCUGAUGUGAAAGCCUUCGGCUUAACCGGAGAAGUGCAUCGGAAACUGGAUAACUUGAGUGCAGAAGAGGGUAGUGGAACUCCAUGUGUAGCGGUGGAAUGCGUAGAUAUAUGGAAGAACACCAGUGGCGAAGGCGGCUACCUGGUCUGCAACUGACGCUGAGACUCGAAAGCAUGGGUAGCGAACAGGAUUAGAUACCCUGGUAGUCCAUGCCGUAAACGAUGAGUGCUAGGUGUUGGAGGGUUUCCGCCCUUCAGUGCCGGAGCUAACGCAUUAAGCACUCCGCCUGGGGAGUACGACCGCAAGGUUGAAACUCAAAGGAAUUGACGGGGGCCCGCACAAGCGGUGGAGCAUGUGGUUUAAUUCGAAGCUACGCGAAGAACCUUACCAGGUCUUGACAUCUUGCGCCAACCCUAGAGAUAGGGCGUUUCCUUCGGGAACGCAAUGACAGGUGGUGCAUGGUCGUCGUCAGCUCGUGUCGUGAGAUGUUGGGUUAAGUCCCGCAACGAGCGCAACCCUUGUUACUAGUUGCCAGCAUUAAGUUGGGCACUCUAGUGAGACUGCCGGUGACAAACCGGAGGAAGGUGGGGACGACGUCAGAUCAUCAUGCCCCUUAUGACCUGGGCUACACACGUGCUACAAUGGACGGUACAACGAGUCGCGAACUCGCGAGGGCAAGCAAAUCUCUUAAAACCGUUCUCAGUUCGGACUGCAGGCUGCAACUCGCCUGCACGAAGUCGGAAUCGCUAGUAAUCGCGGAUCAGCAUGCCGCGGUGAAUACGUUCCCGGGCCUUGUACACACCGCCCGUCACACCAUGAGAGUUUGUAACACCCAAAGUCGGUGGGGUAACCUUUUAGGAGCCAGCCGCCUAAGGUGGCCAAAAUUG
This 1489-nucleotide ribosomal RNA is filed under the name Limosilactobacillus fermentum. RNAcentral's name for it is "bacterial SSU rRNA". It matches the Rfam family "Bacterial small subunit ribosomal RNA". The record is from RNAcentral. Lineage: Bacteria; Bacillati; Bacillota; Bacilli; Lactobacillales; Lactobacillaceae.